AGAAUUCCAUAGAUUCACCAUUCUUUGAUUAAAUAAAUUCCUUCUCACCUCCUUCCUGAAGGAACAACCCAGCUGUAUUUAUUGUGCACUUCGAAUAGUGACAAGCAAUCGCAUGGUACUUACCAAAUGUACCACACGUUAGACUGAUUCUCAUUACAUUCAGGUUUGUUGCAGGGCAGCACGGUGGCGCAGCGGUAGAGUUGCAGCCUUACAGCGCCGGAGACCCGGGUUCGAUCCCGACUGUGGGCACUGUCAGUUCGGAGUUUGUACGUUCUCCCCGUGACCUGCAUGGGUUUUCACCGAGAUCUUCGGUUUCCUCCCACACUCCAAAGACGUAUAGGUUUGUAGGUUAAUUGGCUUGGUGUAUGUGUAAAAUUGUCCCCAGUGUGUGUAGGAUAGUCUUAAUGUGCGGUCUCGGUGGGCCGAAGGGCCUGUUUCUGCGCUGUGUCUCUAAAACAAAAAAAGAAACUAAAAAUAUGGUUUAACAGAGUAUCAUUGCUCAAAUGUCUAUUGAAGCUAUCACCUGCCAAUGUCAAUGGCCUCCCGCAGUGUAACUAGCAGCCUGUGUUCUUAAAGAGGCAAUGUGUCUGAUUACUGUGGGGACCGCUAUAACCGAAACCCAUUAUAAAGAGGCCCGUAAUAACGAGGGUAGUUUGUAUUUAAAAAUCGGGUUUAGUGUGGGGGGGAAAAGAAGCAUUUCACAUUUGUCCAAUGUUAGCAUUGACCGCUAUCUGAACAAAACAACUUUAUGUUAUAUUAAUAUUGUUUAGAAUAUUCCUGCUCAUAUAAUUGAAAUACAGUGGAACCCCCUUUAAGCAAGCAUCAUAUCAGUAAUUUCAUUAUUUAAAGAAUUAAAGAAUUAACACAUUUCACUGGGGUUUUUGAAAUGUUUCACUAUUUGGGAGUUUAAUUAUCAAGGGGAGUUCGGUUAUGAAAGAAAUUUCAUUCAAUAAGGAAUUUUAUUAUAAGGUUUCAUUGUAAAGCAUGCUUCAUAAUGAAGGGGGUUUUGUUGUAAUGGUUUCAUUAUAAAGAAGUUUGGUUUUCAAUGUAUUGGCUAUGUUAAUAAUUGUGGUACUUAAAGUGCACAUCCCUCGAACUCAAGUCUUUUCAUAUUCACAUCACUGUGUAUCACACUAAGAGGAAAGAAAUAAAACAUUGUCCAACUGAAAA
Amblyraja radiata (thorny skate) is the source of this 1170-nucleotide long non-coding RNA. RefSeq lists it as uncharacterized. Lineage: Eukaryota; Metazoa; Chordata; Chondrichthyes; Rajiformes; Rajidae. The record is from RefSeq and is a predicted model, not a curated record. The transcript has 2 exons.